Molecule: microRNA precursor, 84 nt
Filed under: Bombyx mori (domestic silkworm)
Lineage: Eukaryota; Metazoa; Arthropoda; Insecta; Lepidoptera; Bombycidae
Description: mir-2807 microRNA precursor family
Rfam family: mir-2807 microRNA precursor family
Source: Rfam by way of RNAcentral
UUAACUUAAAUUUGUAUGGAGUUAGAACGUUUGCCUACGUUUGCCGCUAGGGGCGCUGUUCCAGCUGCAUAUAAAUUUGUGUUA